RNAcentral lists this transfer RNA (73 nucleotides) under Felis catus (domestic cat). It matches the Rfam family "tRNA". Rfam says of the family: Transfer RNA (tRNA) molecules are approximately 80 nucleotides in length. Their secondary structure includes four short double-helical elements and three loops (D, anti-codon, and T loops). Lineage: Eukaryota; Metazoa; Chordata; Mammalia; Carnivora; Felidae. RNAcentral also lists the same sequence under 2 other names. The record is from Rfam by way of RNAcentral.
GCCUAGCUGGCUCAGUUGGUAGAGCAUGUGACUCUUGAUCUUGGGGUUGUGAGUUCAAGCCCCAUGUUGAGUG